AUGGCGCUCAUCACCGAGACCAGUGAGGCCAGUGAGAAGGAAGCUGAGGAGGUUCAUCAUUCCGGUGAAGAGACUAAAAAUGGUCUCCAUCGACGAGGCGGUGCUGCAGGCCACACCGAGAUCCUAUUCCUGUCUGUGGAUAGAUGGGCACAGCCAAAACCCAAUGAGAAAAAGGAACAUCUGGUUGUUGAUGAGGUGCAGCAUGAGUCUGUUGCAGAGAAGGAGAAUGAAGUGCCAUUCUUUGGUGCUCUGUUUCAGAGCGCAAGCAAGUCAACUGAGAGCAAGAAAGAUCUGCUUGUUGAUGAGUCUGUUGCAGUGGAGGAGAAUGAAGUGCCAUUCUUUGGUGCUCUGUUUCAGAGCGCAACCAAGUCAACUGAGAGCAAGAAAGAUCUGUUGUUGAUGAGUCUGUUGCAGAGGAGGAGAAUGAAGUGCCAUUCUUUGGUGCUCUGUUUCAGAGCGCAACCAAGUUGUUGA
Molecule: ribosomal RNA, 474 nt
Filed under: Triticum aestivum (bread wheat)
Lineage: Eukaryota; Viridiplantae; Streptophyta; Magnoliopsida; Poales; Poaceae
Description: partial small subunit ribosomal RNA
Source: RNAcentral